UUUUGUGCUUCUGUGGAGUUUGCCAUCUCUAUCUGAGUGGGGAGGAUUAGCUUUUCUUAUCUAUGUCUGGUGUUCAGAGGUUUUAGCCCUAGGCAUAUUGUCCGUUCUAUGCCUUGGCCCUUGUUUCUGUGCCUCAGCCAGCUGGAAGAGCCAGCACUCUGAGGAGGGAGGGGCCUUGGUUUCCGGGAGCUCUGAGGGCUGUUGAUAGGAUUAACCUCAGACUUAUUAUGCCCUCAGGCAGAGACCUUCAGUGAGACCCAGAUGGAAGUUCCUGGUCAGGGGGCUACAGGCUCCUCCUGUCUUUCUCUGUUUCCCUGCUGUCUGGGUGCCCCCUCGACUGGGUCAGGUCUAGGAGGAGUGUUUCCGGGGUCUAUUCUGCUGUUUCUUUUGAAUUUCAAUGCCCUAGGAGCAUUCUGUUUGAGAUCGGAACUAUAUAUUGUGAGUAACAUGUGAGAGACUCUGGAGUCCCAAGGAAAAUGGCCUGGAAUCCUGUUCUAUUCUGAGGUGUGGCAGUGGAAGAAAAGGAAUGAAGAAAGAGCAGGAAUGGGUGAGUGUGGCCUCUGAGGGACUGAUUCAGCUGUGAUCACUCCCAGGAGAGUGAGAUCUCUGGU
This 611-nucleotide long non-coding RNA is filed under the name Monodelphis domestica (gray short-tailed opossum). Its description in RNAcentral is "lncRNA (ENSMODG00000041948.1)". Lineage: Eukaryota; Metazoa; Chordata; Mammalia; Didelphimorphia; Didelphidae. The record is from RNAcentral.